UACGGAGGGUGCAAGCGUUAUCCGGAAUCACUGGGUUUAAAGGGUGCGUAGGCGGCCAGAUAAGUCAGAGGUGAAAGUUUCCGGCUCAACCGGGAGAUUGCCUUUGAUACUGUUUGGCUUGAAUCAGAUUGAGGUUGGCGGAAUGUGACAUGUAGCGGUGAAAUGCAUAGAUAUUACACAGAACACCGAUUGCGAAGGCAGCUUACUAAACCAUUAUUGACGCUGAUGCACGAAAGCGUGGGGAGCAAACAGG
Molecule: ribosomal RNA, 253 nt
Filed under: uncultured microorganism
Description: partial 16S ribosomal RNA
Rfam family: Bacterial small subunit ribosomal RNA
Source: RNAcentral